Molecule: ribosomal RNA, 490 nt
Filed under: uncultured bacterium
Lineage: Bacteria
Description: partial 16S ribosomal RNA
Rfam family: Bacterial small subunit ribosomal RNA
Source: RNAcentral
AGUGAACGCUGGCGGUAGGCCUAACACAUGCAAGUCGAACGGCAGCACAGGAGAGCUUGCUCUCUAGGUGGCGAGUGGCGGACGGGUGAGGAAUACAUCGGAAUCUGCCCAGUCGUGGGGGAUAACGUAGGGAAACUUACGCUAAUACCGCAUACGACCUUCGGGUGAAAGAGGGGGAUCGCAAGACCUCUCGCGAUUGGAUGAGCCGAUGUCGGAUUAGCUAGUUAGCGGGGUAAUGGCCCACCAAGGCGACGAUCCGUAGCUGGUCUGAGAGGAUCAUCAGCCACACUGGAACUGAGACACGGUCCAGACUCCUACGGGAGGCAGCAGUGGGGAAUAUUGGACAAUGGGCGCAAGCCUGAUCCAGCCAUACCGCGUGGGUGAAGAAGGCCUUCGGGUUGUAAAGCCCUUUUGUUGGGAAAGAAAUCUUUCAGGCUAAUACCCUGGGAGGAUGACGGUACCCAAAGAAUAAGCACCGGCUAACUUCGUG